CCUACGGGGCGCAGCAGUGAGGAAUAUUGGUCAAUGGGCGGAAGCCUGAACCAGCCAAGUCGCGUGAGGGAAUAACGCGCCUUACGUGUAGGGCUUUGCAUGUACCGUAUGAAUAAGGACCGGCUAAUUCCGUGCCAGCAGCCGCGGUAAUACGGAAGGUCCGGGCGUUAUCCGGAUUUAUUGGGUUUAAAGGGAGCGUAGGCCGCAUGUCAAGCGUGCUGUGAAAUGUCCGGGCUCAACCCGGGCCUUGCAGCGCGAACUGGCGUGCUUGAGUCCGCGGAAAGCAGGCGGAAUUCGUCGUGUAG
This 305-nucleotide ribosomal RNA is filed under the name uncultured bacterium. Its description in RNAcentral is "bacterial SSU rRNA". It matches the Rfam family "Bacterial small subunit ribosomal RNA", at positions 338 to 678 of the family's 1533-position model. The record is from RNAcentral.